RNAcentral lists this ribosomal RNA (913 nucleotides) under uncultured archaeon. RNAcentral describes it as "bacterial SSU rRNA". It matches the Rfam family "Archaeal small subunit ribosomal RNA", at positions 1 to 922 of the family's 1478-position model. The record is from RNAcentral.
UUCCGGUUGAUCCUGCCGGAGGUCACUGCUAUCGGGGUUCGAUUAAGCCAUGCGAGUCGAGAGGGUUCAGACCCUCGGCGGACUGCUCAGUAACACGUGGAUAAUCUGCCCUAUGGUGGAGGAUAACCCCGGGAAACUGGGGAUAAUACUCCAUAAGUCAGGAGUACUGGAAUGUCUCCUAACUGAAAGUUUCGGCGCCAUAGGAUGAAUCUGCGGCCGAUUAGGUAGUUGUUGGGGUAACGGCCCAACAAGCCCGUAAUCGGUACGGGUUGUGGGAGCAAGAGCCCGGAGAUGGAAUCUGAGACACGAUUCCAGGCCCUACGGGGCGCAGCAGGCGCGAAAACUUUACAAUGCAGGAAACUGUGAUAAGGGAACCCCGAGUGCCCGUACACGCGGGCUGUCCCGGUGUUUAAAACACAUCGGAAGAAAGGGUCGGGCAAGACCGGUGCCAGCCGCCGCGGUAAUACCGGCGGCUCGAGUGGUGACCACUUUUAUUGGGCUUAAAGCGUUCGUAGCUUGAUUUUUAAGUCUCUUGGGAAAUCUCACGGCUUAACUGUGAGGCGUCUAAGAGAUACUGGGAAUCUAGGGACCGGGAGAGGUAAGAGGUACUUCAGGGGUAGAAGUGAAAUUCUGUAAUCCUUGAGGGACCACCGAUGGCGAAGGCAUCUUACCAGAACGGCUUCGACAGUGAGGAACGAAAGCUGGGGGAGCGAACGGGAUUAGAUACCCCGGUAGUCCCAGCCGUAAACUAUGCGCGUUAGGUGUGUCUGUAACUACGAGUUACCGGGGUGCCGAAGUGAAAACGUGAAACGUGCCGCCUGGGAAGUACGGUCGCAAGGCUGAAACUUAAAGGAAUUGGCGGGGGAGCACCACAACGGGUGGAGCCUGCGGUUUAAUUGGAUUCAACGCCGGG